UACAGAGGUCCCGAGCGUUGUUCGGAUUCACUGGGCGUAAAGGGUGCGUAGGUGGUGAGGAAAGUCGGAUGUGAAAUCUCCGGGCUUAACCCGGAAAUGGCAUUGGAAACUACCUUGCUAGAGGUUUUGAGGGGGGACCGGAAUUCUCGGUGUAGCAGUGAAAUGCGUAGAUAUCGAGAGGAACACCGGUGGCGAAGGCGAGUCCCUGGAAAACACCUGACACUGAGGCACGAAAGCUAGGGGAGCAAACAGG
Molecule: ribosomal RNA, 253 nt
Filed under: uncultured bacterium
Lineage: Bacteria
Description: partial 16S ribosomal RNA
Rfam family: Bacterial small subunit ribosomal RNA
Source: RNAcentral